RNAcentral lists this ribosomal RNA (400 nucleotides) under uncultured bacterium. Its description in RNAcentral is "bacterial SSU rRNA". It matches the Rfam family "Bacterial small subunit ribosomal RNA", at positions 355 to 747 of the family's 1533-position model. The record is from RNAcentral.
UGGGGAAUAUUGGACAAUGGGGGCAACCCUGAUCCAGCCAUGCCGCGUGUGUGAAGAAGGCCUUCGGGUUGUAAAGCACUUUCAGUGAGGAAGAAGGCCUGCGGGUUAAUAGCCGGCAGGAAGGACAUCACUCACAGAAGAAGCACCGGCUAACUCCGUGCCAGCAGCCGCGGUAAUACGGAGGGUGCGAGCGUUAAUCGGAAUUACUGGGCGUAAAGCGCGCGUAGGUGGCUUGAUAAGCCGGUUGUGAAAGCCCCGGGCUCAACCUGGGAACGGCAUCCGGAACUGUCAGGCUAGAGUGCAGGAGAGGAAGGUAGAAUUCCCGGUGUAGCGGUGAAAUGCGUAGAGAUCGGGAGGAAUACCAGUGGCGAAGGCGGCCUUCUGGACUGACACUGACACU